This 478-nucleotide ribosomal RNA is filed under the name uncultured bacterium. Its description in RNAcentral is "partial 16S ribosomal RNA". It matches the Rfam family "Bacterial small subunit ribosomal RNA", at positions 28 to 523 of the family's 1533-position model. The record is from RNAcentral.
GACGAACGCUGGCGGCGUGCUUAACACAUGCAAGUCGAACGGUAAGGCCCUUCGGGGUACACGAGUGGCGAACGGGUGAGUAACACGUGGGUGAUCUGCCCUGCACUUCGGGAUAAGCCUGGGAAACUGGGUCUAAUACCGGAUAGGACCACUGCCUGCAUGGGUGGUGGUGGAAAGCUUUUGCGGUGUGGGAUGGGCCCGCGGCCUAUCAGCUUGUUGGUGGGGUGAUGGCCUACCAAGGCGACGACGGGUAGCCGGCCUGAGAGGGUGACCGGCCACACUGGGGCUGAGAUACGGCCCAGACUCCUACGGGAGGCAGCAGUGGGGAAUAUUGCACAAUGGGCGCAAGCCUGAUGCAGCGACGCCGCGUGAGGGAUGACGGCCUUCGGGUUGUAAACCUCUUUCAGCACCGACGAAACGCAAGUGACGGUAGGUGCAGAAGAAGGACCGGCCAACUACGUGCCAGCAGCCGCCGCCG